AGCUCCAAUAGCGUAUAUUAAAGUUGUUGCAGUUAAAAAGCUCGUAGUUGGAUUUCUGGCACGGCGCGCCUGGUCCGCCCCGUUUAGGUGUGUGAGUACCGGCGCGCGCCUGUCAUCCUGCCGGGUGCGCGCGCCCUGCCCUUCGUUGGGUUGGGGCCGCCGCCCGGCUCGUUUACUUUGAAAAAAUUAGAGUGUUUCAAGCAGGCAGCUUCGCCGUGAAUACAUUAGCAUGGAAUAAUAAGAUAGGACUUUGGCCCUAUUUUGUUGGUUUCUAGGACUGAAGUAAUGAUUGAUAGGGUCAGUUGGGGGUGCUCGUAUUCCGCGGCCAGAGGUGAAAUUCUUGGAUUCCCGGAAGACGAACUAAAGCGAAAGCAUUCACCAAGUAUGUGCCCUUUAAUCA
This 400-nucleotide ribosomal RNA is filed under the name phytoplankton environmental sample. Its description in RNAcentral is "partial small subunit ribosomal RNA". It matches the Rfam family "Eukaryotic small subunit ribosomal RNA", at positions 587 to 979 of the family's 1831-position model. The record is from RNAcentral.